CUACGGGCUGCUCCAGUGGGGAAUAUUGCACAAUGGAGGAAACUCUGAUGCAGCAACGCCGCGUGGAGGAUGACACUUUUCGGAGCGUAAACUCCUUUUAUAUAGGAAGAAGAUGACGGUACUAUAUGAAUAAGCGCCGGCUAACUCCGUGCCAGCAGCCGCGGUAAUACGGAGGGCGCAAGCGUUACUCGGAAUCACUGGGCGUAAAGAGCGUGUAGGCGGAUUAAAAAGUCAGAAGUGAAAUCCUAUAGCUUAGCUAUAGAACUGCUUCUGAAACUCUUAAUCUAGAAUAUGGGAGAGGUAGAUGGAAUUUCUGGUGUAGGGGCAAAAUCCGUAGAGAUCAGAAGGAAUACCGAUUGCGAAGGCGAUCUACUAGAACAUUAUUGACGCUGAGACGCGAAAGCGUGGGGAGCAAACAGGAUUAGAUACCCCUGUAGUC
Molecule: ribosomal RNA, 439 nt
Filed under: uncultured bacterium
Lineage: Bacteria
Description: partial 16S ribosomal RNA
Rfam family: Bacterial small subunit ribosomal RNA
Source: RNAcentral